UAAGCUGCACAUUUUCAGGUUACUUUACACCUUGUAUUGACACAUAUUUGACACUGUACCCUUGGAUGUUCAUCGCGGAGGCCUUGUAAUCCUUGCACGCGUUUCCUUUCGUGGCGCCUAGGCAGAAGACUUGCGAUGACUGCGAACGUGUGCUGGAUUGGAUGUCUGUCAUUUUUGUUGAGUUGGAUGUCUGCCUGGUGAUGUUACACAUGCAUGCAUCUUGACGCAUCUCCUGCUAGCAACCGUUUAGGGUGCUGCUUGGCUUCGGAGGCUGCCGUUUCACGGCGUCAAUGACGAUGACUGCGCCACAUGUUACAAGGAAUUGCGAUUGAUCCUCUCUACUUACGCCCUCUAACCUAACGCCCUGUUGUCACAAGCAGAGCAACAAAUCUGCAAGCAUUAGCAACCCAACAUCUGUAUCGCUCCACUCUACACCCCUGACGUCGCCCGCACACAGCUUUGCUGUAACAACAACUUUUUGCAGAGCAGUGAAAAUCACAGGCAGAACUUCCAAACGCUCAAGUCCCCGUGGACAUCUGAAAAGACACGUCUGAAUUAAAAUCACAAUUGAGUGUCGACACAGCAAUUCCGAAUCCCCAAGCGCACAUGACAUGGCGCGCCCAUAGCGUUAAGACCCGACGGGAACAAGCUGCAAACAUAGCUAGCAUUCUGAGUCUUGGUACGUCUCUCAGUAUAUCGGUGCAUCGCACUCAUGUAUACGGCCGCGUAUGCACGCCACGAGGGCCAAGACUGCCAUGCGAAACUGAAGUUGCACGACCACCAAACAAAACACAACGAAGCAAAGUUUUAUAUAACAGGUGUAUACACGACGAGUACUUUACAAAAAAUACUUAUUGCAUAGCGUACAUUAUCAGGUAUCAUACGUUAAUACAACACGUGAGGGCCCAGAAAUGCAGGUAUGCCCCGAAUGCAUGAAAGAAGCAACAUGCUCUAGCAUUCAGAUCUUCUCAGAGGACGAACAAUGCUGGUGAAAUCCCCCUUUCUAAAGAAACAUGUGGGCAUGCAUUCCAAUCCGGAUCCUCCUGCACCUGGAAAUCGGAAACCACAAUCGGAGCUAAAAGGAAUGCUGCAUAUUCCCGUGCUGGUGCCCUUGCAAAGCCAGCCCCAAACCACCCCUUCGUCAGUUCAUACGUUGGUAUACCUGCGGCACCAACUCUAUAUGCAAGUUAGGUGUGCUUAAUCCGGAAUAUGAACGCCGAUCACGCAGCAUUCAGCAAUGACCACAGGACGUGAAGCUUCCCGUGACCACAUUAUGAAAGUAAGGCCACCGCAAGCGUAUACCGAACACCAAACGUCAUUCCGAAGAAAGUACUACGGGAAUUUUGAAACCCAGAAACCUGGCAAGGAAGAGCGGAAAGCUGGCGACCAACGCAAACCUCAGCGGUGACCAGCGAAGAGCAGCUCGUUCAACACCUGUAAAAGUAUUCUUUGUCUUAGAUGGGAUCAUGAAAACUCGUAAGCCCAGAGUCAACGCCCAGAGGCAACACCCAUGAGCAACGAUAACUGGAAUUACAUCGCGGAGGCUUACAUACAGACACUAGAGAAGGUUCCGAGAGACCAUUCGCUCCUUACCAGCGCGAUUAUUGUGGCUGUAAACGUUAUCCCAAGAGCAGUGAACGGGUCUUGGUCGUGAGCAUAUACGCAGUAGCCAGUUACAAUCAUUGCACCUAUUCC
Molecule: long non-coding RNA, 1695 nt
Filed under: Volvox carteri
Lineage: Eukaryota; Viridiplantae; Chlorophyta; Chlorophyceae; Chlamydomonadales; Volvocaceae
Description: long non-coding RNA (VCAR_LNC002554)
Source: RNAcentral